RNAcentral lists this ribosomal RNA (206 nucleotides) under uncultured bacterium. RNAcentral describes it as "partial 16S ribosomal RNA". It matches the Rfam family "Bacterial small subunit ribosomal RNA", at positions 570 to 774 of the family's 1533-position model. The record is from RNAcentral.
CGCAGGCGGUUUCUUAAGUUAGACGUGAAAGCUCCUGGCUUAACUGGGAGAGGUCGUUUAAAACUGAGGGACUUGAGGCAAUGAGGAGGGGUGCGGAAUUCCCGGUGUAGUGGUGGAAUGCGUAGAUAUCGGGAGGAACACCAGUGGCGAAAGCGGCAUCCUGGCAUUGACCUGACGCUGAAGUGCGAAAGCGUGGGGAGCGAACG